This 482-nucleotide ribosomal RNA is filed under the name uncultured bacterium. Its description in RNAcentral is "partial 16S ribosomal RNA". It matches the Rfam family "Bacterial small subunit ribosomal RNA", at positions 30 to 507 of the family's 1533-position model. The record is from RNAcentral.
AUUGAACGCUGGCGGCAUGCCUUACACAUGCAAGUCGAACGGUAACAGGUCUUCGGAUGCUGACGAGUGGCGAACGGGUGAGUAAUACAUCGGAACGUGCCCGAUCGUGGGGGAUAACGAGGCGAAAGCUUUGCUAAUACCGCAUACGAUCUACGGAUGACAGCGGGGGAUCUUCGGACCUCGCGCGGACGGAGCGGCCGAUGGCAGAUUAGGUAGUUGGUGGGAUAAAAGCUUACCAAGCCGACGAUCUGUAGCUGGUCUGAGAGGAUGAUCAGCCACACUGGGACUGAGACACGGCCCAGACUCCUACGGGAGGCAGCAGUGGGGAAUUUUGGACAAUGGGCGAAAGCCUGAUCCAGCCAUGCCGCGUGCAGGAUGAAGGCCUUUGGGUUGUAAACUGCUUUUGUACGGAACGAAAAGCCUCUUUCUAAUAAAGAGGUGUCAUGACGGUACCGUAAGAAUAAGCACCGGCUAACUACGUG